This 348-nucleotide long non-coding RNA is filed under the name Numida meleagris (helmeted guineafowl). RNAcentral's name for it is "lncRNA (ENSNMEG00000019158.1)". The record is from RNAcentral. Lineage: Eukaryota; Metazoa; Chordata; Aves; Galliformes; Numididae.
CUCAAGUUCCUCAUUAAACAUUUCUGGGUAACAAAUGGUAAGACAAGUCAAAUACACAUCUGAAAGUCUGCUGGAAACAUCUUCAUUUGUGGUAGGAAGAAAGCCCAAGAAAAGAGCCUAAGGGAAGGCUGUCAGAAAGUGAGGAAGUGUCAUACUGAUGGAUCCUCUAGGGAAAAAACGAAGAAUACAGUGGCACGAAGUGGGUGUUUCUGAAAGAGAGCAAUCUGCAAAACUCCAUAGAUUCCAGUGGAACCAGAAGCAGAUUUGGAACCAGAAGAUAAAAGGUACAGAGAAUGGCCAUUAAAACCUGGGAAGUCAUGUAGGUGAGUGUAAGAUACAUGCAUGCAU